GGCCACGUAGUACAAUGGAUAGUAUAAGGGUCUCCGAAGCCUUUGAUCCGCGUUCGAUUCGCGGCGUGGCCA
Molecule: transfer RNA, 72 nt
Filed under: Cnuella takakiae
Lineage: Bacteria; Pseudomonadati; Bacteroidota; Chitinophagia; Chitinophagales; Chitinophagaceae
Rfam family: tRNA
About the family: Transfer RNA (tRNA) molecules are approximately 80 nucleotides in length. Their secondary structure includes four short double-helical elements and three loops (D, anti-codon, and T loops).
Source: Rfam by way of RNAcentral